This is a long non-coding RNA of Osmerus eperlanus (European smelt), 1749 nucleotides long. RefSeq lists it as uncharacterized. The transcript has 3 exons. Lineage: Eukaryota; Metazoa; Chordata; Actinopteri; Osmeriformes; Osmeridae. The record is from RefSeq and is a predicted model, not a curated record.
AGAGAGGAGGGGAGAGAGCCAGAAAAGGAGGAAGCGACCCACUGUAAUUCACAUGGGAUGGAUUCUUUUCACCACACCACUUCCUGUCAGCCCUACCCACUUCCUGUCAGCCCUACCCACAAUUCCCUUGGACAGACUGUCCGUCCUGUGAUCAUGACCCCAGAUAAAGGUUUCCUGGAACUUGUAGAGCGGCUUCCUCCUUCCCAGGAGCCUCAGGGGGGAUGGACACCAACAGGAACAGGUUCAACGCUGUAGGGUGGAGAGCCUCCAGGUCCUAGUGCCUGCCUGCUAGCCCUCUGAGAUUCCCUGUUUCCCAUCCUGGCAGAGUGGGUGUCAGAGUGGUUAAACUCACCCCUUAGUAUGAAUAACACCUUGGUGUCUUGUUAGUGGUGUGGCUGGUUGAAGAUGUGUUUCAGAGACAUGUCUGUUCAUUACCCAUGAGCCUCUGCUUCUUCUGCUGAGGUAAACACUUCCUGAACUCCAACAUGGGUCCAGCUGUGGAUAACUGGAUGUAGGACGGAGGAUGGUGACAUUAGCUACGUUUGGCUUCUACGUGGAUUCACGUCUGCAUUGUCGGUUGUCACUUUUUCACAGUGGUAGAACUUCACGUUAGGUUAAAAAUAUUUUUUAUGAUGAAAUGUGCGAUAACUUGGUUUUCCGACUGUUUGUAUAGUUAGUGUGUUAUGAGGAGCGAAAGUUACCCGCUGUUAGCUUCGAGCUAAUUCAAGGUUCCGUUGCUACGGGUGAUGAGUUACCGCUGGUCCCGUGAAAUCUGAACUUCCGCAUUGUCAUGACGUCGUUGUCAUGACAUCAUCGUCUCAACCUUGACAUGUUCCCCCCAGGUGUGGACCAGGACAUAUCAACAACACAUUUCCACUCACAUUCGUGGAAACAAGCCAAAUACAAAGAAACAGUGAGGUGAUGUUGGUGAUGUAAGACCUGCACUGAGGAUAGAUUCACCUGGAGCAGAAACUGUCUGUUACACAAACCGCCCGAGAAAGUAUCUAGAUGGGUUUUCCUUUCAUUACCCAUUUAGUCAUUUAGCAGACGAUCCAGAGCGACUUACAGCGACUUACCCGAUGUGCUUGUGUGUGUGUGACUACCCUCUAGGUGUGGUGUAUUAACUCUGAGUGUGUGUGAGAUGGCUGCUGCAGUGGUGGGGGCUGGGGGCCUGAGGGCUAGAUUAGAGGGGUUUAGUGCUAGUGGUGAAGGUGUUGUCCGUGAGAUCUUCUGCUGUUCUCUGGAGAGGUCAGGUGAUCCCUGAUAUGUUUGGCUGUUCUAGGGGUGAGGUACAUCUCUCUCUCUAGGGGUGAGGUACAUCUCUCUCUCUCUCUCUAGGGGUGAGGUAGAUCUCUCUCUUUAGGGGUGAGGUAUUGGGUGAGGUACAGCUCUCUCUAGGGGUGAGGUAGUGGGUGAGGUACAGCUCUCUCUAGGGGUGAGGUAGUGGGUGAGGUACAGCUCUCUCUCUAGGGGUGAGGUAGUGGGUGAGGUACAGCUCUCUCUCUAGGGGUGAGGUAUUGGGUGAGGUACAUCUCUCUCGAGGGGUGAGGUACAUCUCUCUCUCUAGGGGUGAGGUAUUGGGUGAGGUACAUUUCUCUCUCUAGGGGUGAGGUAUUGGGUGAGGUACAUCUCUCCAGCCCCUCACCAGACACCACGGCCAGGGUGACCAGGGACCUUCUCUAUAGUAACCCCACAUGUGCCAAUUCAAACCGUAUUUUUGAAGAUAAUUUAUUCCUCAGCCCCUGUUAA